Molecule: ribosomal RNA, 291 nt
Filed under: uncultured bacterium
Lineage: Bacteria
Description: partial 16S ribosomal RNA
Rfam family: Bacterial small subunit ribosomal RNA
Source: RNAcentral
CGCGCCCUACGGGACGCAGCAGUAGGGAAUCUUCCACAAUGGGCGAAAGCCUGAUGGAGCAACGCCGCGUGGGUGAAGAGGGUCUUCGGAUCGGAAAACCCUGUUGUUAGAGAAGAAAGUGCGUGAGAGUAACUGUUCACGUUUCGACGGUAUCUAACCAGAAAGCCACGGCUAACUACGUGCCAGCAGCCGCGGUAAUACGUAGGUGGCAAGCGUUAUCCGGAUUUAUUGGGCGUAAAGGGAACGCAGGCGGCCUUUUAAGUCUGAUGUGAAAGCCUUCGGCUUAACCGG